GCAUCCAAGCUUCUUUGCGCUGGCAGCAAGUCAUCCUUAGAAGCUCAAAAUUUAGACUUAUAUGAAGAGGUUGAUAGUUCUUCUGUGAUUGAUAAAUAACUAGUUCCAAAUAACCAAUGAAAUAAUAAUGGACAAUUUCCUCAAAAUAAAAAAAAUUAACAGGCAUGACAGUGCUUUGGUAACAUAAACUUUCUUUUAUCGUACAUACUUGUAAUAUGAGAUGGCAAAGUCAUCUCAUAUAUUCAAAUUUUAGAUUUAAUGUAUUUAGUCUCACAUUGGUUAUGUACUGAAAAAAAUUUGAAUACUUGUAGGAAACAUGAUAUCCAAAUAAUAUGUUAGUCUUUUUUUUUAUGGGGUUCUAUUAAAAAUGAUAUCAUAUUGGAAUAACGGAUAAUUUCCUCAAAAUAAAAAAAAUUAACAGGCAUGAUAGUACUUUAGUAACAUAAACUUUGAUAUGACAGUACUUUGGUAACAUAAACUUCUUUUAUCAUAUGUACUUGUAAUAAUUGAUGACAAAAUCAUCUCAUAUUUGUAUUUAGUCUCACAUUGAUUGUGUGUUGAAAAAAUUUUGAAUACUUGUAGAAGAACAUGAAAUCCAAAUAAUAUGUUAGCAUUUUUAUUUUUUUUUUAAUGAGGUUCUGUUAAAAAUGGUAUCAUAGUGGAACCAAUUUAUAGUUCAUAUGGGUUAGGAGAUACUACAGUAUAGAUUUAUUUGGGAUCGACCAUUAUAUAUGGUAAAAAAAUUUAAAUAAUAUAUUUUGACUAAUUUUUUUUGAAUGAGAUCCCAAGCUGUUAUGCCUUGGAAGUUAACAAAGAUGUAUCUCGCUUGUGCCUUUUUUGAUAGCAUAUAGGCAUCUAGGAAGACCUUUGUCCCCUUAAAUUUUUGAAUAUUUAUAUCCUAUGGUUAAUUCUCAAAUAUGAAUACAUGAUCAUUAGGAAAUCACAAUCAUGGAUCUCUACCAAAAAUAUGAGCAUUAACAAUCGACCAUCUUGGAGUCACUUCUAAUGUUCCUCUUUUAUUGUUACUUCUAUCAAUCAAUCAUCUUCUCAUCUUCCAGUUUACUGAUUUAAAUAAUUAUGUUUUUGGCUCCUCGUUUAUUUCAGUUCAGCGGUUCACUUCCACUGUGUACUUGCAGGAGUACCAACCAAAUUUGUUCGACUCGUGAACUCAAAGUUUACCGGGAAACAUGAAAAAGAGGUACCUACCAAGCAAUGCAAAUCAUCAAUUGGUGACGGUUGGAAGACCAAAAAUCAUGGUCUUAAAUUUAUUUUCCUAAAAUAUAUUGUACCCAC
Molecule: long non-coding RNA, 1293 nt
Filed under: Elaeis guineensis (African oil palm)
Lineage: Eukaryota; Viridiplantae; Streptophyta; Magnoliopsida; Arecales; Arecaceae
Description: long non-coding RNA (EGUI_LNC021753)
Source: RNAcentral